GUGACGAGGGCACUAAGACACCGAGACGAUGAUGUUUAGCGGGGCCAAGAGGUUGUACCGCCACACUGGGAUUGAGAUACGGCCCAGACUCCUACGGGAGGCAGCAGUAAGGAAUAUUCCACAAUAAGCGAAAGCUUGAUGGAGCGACACAGCGUGCAGGAUGAAGUCUUUCGGGAUGUAAACUGCUGUUGUAAGGGAAGAAAAAACUAGAUAGGAAAUGCUCUAGUCUUGACGGUACCUUAUUAGAAAGCGACGGCAAACUAUGUGCCAGCAGCCGCGGUAAUACAUAGGUCGCAAGCGUUAUCCGGAAUUAUUGGGCGUAAAGCGUCCGUAGGUUUUUUGUUAAGUUUAAAGUUAAAUGCUAAAGCUCAACUUUAGUCCGCUUUAGAUACUGGCAAAAUAGAAUUAUGAAGAGGUUAGCGGAAUUCCUAGUGGAGUGGUGGAAUACGUAGAUAUUAGGAAGAACACCAAUAGGCGAAGGCAGCUAACUGGUCAUAUAUUGACACUAAGGGACGAAAGCGUGGGGAGCAAACAGGAUUAGAUACCCUGGUAGUCCACGCCGUAAACGAUGAUCAUUACUUGGUGGCAAAAGCACCAAACAAAAAAAAA
Molecule: ribosomal RNA, 609 nt
Filed under: Mesomycoplasma hyopneumoniae
Lineage: Bacteria; Bacillati; Mycoplasmatota; Mycoplasmoidales; Metamycoplasmataceae
Description: bacterial SSU rRNA
Rfam family: Bacterial small subunit ribosomal RNA
Source: RNAcentral